UGGCAGGUCAGCAUACUGCCGUGAAUACGUUCCCGGGCCUUGUACACACCGCCCGUCACACCAUGAGAGUUGGAAAUACCCGAAGCCUGUGAGCUAACAGUAAUGAGGCAGCAGUCGAAGGUAGAGCCAAUGAUUGGGGUGAAGUCGUAACAAGGUACC
RNAcentral lists this ribosomal RNA (159 nucleotides) under uncultured bacterium. RNAcentral's name for it is "partial 16S ribosomal RNA". It matches the Rfam family "Bacterial small subunit ribosomal RNA", at positions 1342 to 1500 of the family's 1533-position model. The record is from RNAcentral.